GAUUCCUUAACUUAAUAGGUAAAGUGUACUUUUGAUAAGAGUGUGUUCGAUGUUCAAGUCAUCGAGGAAUCA
Transfer RNA from Pseudocercospora musae, 72 nucleotides. It matches the Rfam family "tRNA". Rfam says of the family: Transfer RNA (tRNA) molecules are approximately 80 nucleotides in length. Their secondary structure includes four short double-helical elements and three loops (D, anti-codon, and T loops). NCBI's taxonomy places the organism in Eukaryota, Fungi, Ascomycota, Dothideomycetes, Mycosphaerellales, Mycosphaerellaceae. The record is from Rfam.